UACGGGGGGGGCAAGCGUUGUUCGGAAUUACUGGGCGUAAAGGGCGCGUAGGCGGCCUGCUAAGUCGGACGUGGAAUCCCUCGGCUCAACCGGGGAACUGCGGCCGAUACUGGCGAGCUUGAAUCCGGGAGAGGGAUGUGGAAUUCCAGGUGUAGCGGUGAAAUGCGUAGAUAUCUGGAGGAACACCGGUGGCGAAGGCGGCAUCCUGGACCGGUAUUGACGUUGAGGCGCGAAAGCCAGGGGAGCAAACGGG
RNAcentral lists this ribosomal RNA (253 nucleotides) under uncultured Acidobacteriota bacterium. Its description in RNAcentral is "uncultured Acidobacteria bacterium partial 16S ribosomal RNA". It matches the Rfam family "Bacterial small subunit ribosomal RNA", at positions 524 to 776 of the family's 1533-position model. The record is from RNAcentral. Lineage: Bacteria; Pseudomonadati; Acidobacteriota.